Molecule: RNase P RNA, 368 nt
Filed under: Salmonella enterica subsp. enterica
Lineage: Bacteria; Pseudomonadati; Pseudomonadota; Gammaproteobacteria; Enterobacterales; Enterobacteriaceae
Description: RNase P RNA component class A
Rfam family: Bacterial RNase P class A
About the family: Ribonuclease P (RNase P) is a ubiquitous endoribonuclease, found in archaea, bacteria and eukarya as well as chloroplasts and mitochondria. Its best characterised activity is the generation of mature 5'-ends of tRNAs by cleaving the 5'-leader elements of precursor-tRNAs.
Source: RNAcentral
UUUGAUCACCAGACAGUCGCCGCUUCGUCGUCGUCCUUUCAGUACGCGAGGAGGAAAGUCCGGCUCCAUAGGGCAGGGUGCCGUAACGCCCUAAAACCCACGACCAGUGCGCAACAGGAGAGCAAAACCGCUUUACGCCCACGCAAGUGGGAUCAGGUGGUGCGAAAGGGUGCGGUAAGAGCGCACCGCGCGGUUGGUACCAAGUCCGUGGCACGGUAAACUCCACCCGAGCAAGGCCAAAUAGGGGUUCCCAUGGCGCGUCGGCCCGUACUGAACCCGGUAGGCUGCUUGGAGCCAGUGAGCGAUUGCUGGCCUAGAUGAAUGACCGUCCAAUGAGACAGAACCCGGCUUUCUAUCGGUCAGUUUUC